UUUAUGGAGAGUUUGAUCCUGGCUCAGGAUGAACGCUGGCGGCGUGCCUAAUACAUGUAAGUCGAGCGAACGGACGAGAAGCUUGCUUCUCUGAUGUUAGCGGCGGACGGGUGAGUAACACGUGGAUAACCUACCUAUAAGACUGGGAUAACUUCGGGAAACCGGAGCUAAUACCGGAUAAUAUUUUGAACCGCAUGGUUCAAAAGUGAAAGACGGUCUUGCUGUCACUUAUAGAUGGAUCCGCGCUGCAUUAGCUAGUUGGUAAGGUAACGGCUUACCAAGGCAACGAUGCAUAGCCGACCUGAGAGGGUGAUCGGCCACACUGGAACUGAGACACGGUCCAGACUCCUACGGGAGGCAGCAGUAGGGAAUCUUCCGCAAUGGGCGAAAGCCUGACGGAGCAACGCCGCGUGAGUGAUGAAGGUCUUCGGAUCGUAAAACUCUGUUAUUAGGGAAGAACAUAUGUGUAAGUAACUGUGCACAUCUUGACGGUACCUAAUCAGAAAGCCACGGCUAACUACGUGCCAGCAGCCGCGGUAAUACGUAGGUGGCAAGCGUUAUCCGGAAUUAUUGGGCGUAAAGCGCGCGUAGGCGGUUUUUUAAGUCUGAUGUGAAAGCCCACGGCUCAACCGUGGAGGGUCAUUGGAAACUGGAAAACUUGAGUGCAGAAGAGGAAAGUGGAAUUCCAUGUGUAGCGGUGAAAUGCGCAGAGAUAUGGAGGAACACCAGUGGCGAAGGCGACUUUCUGGUCUGUAACUGACGCUGAUGUGCGAAAGCGUGGGGAUCAAACAGGAUUAGAUACCCUGGUAGUCCACGCCGUAAACGAUGAGUGCUAAGUGUUAGGGGGUUUCCGCCCCUUAGUGCUGCAGCUAACGCAUUAAGCACUCCGCCUGGGGAGUACGACCGCAAGGUUGAAACUCAAAGGAAUUGACGGGGACCCGCACAAGCGGUGGAGCAUGUGGUUUAAUUCGAAGCAACGCGAAGAACCUUACCAAAUCUUGACAUCCUUUGACAACUCUAGAGAUAGAGCCUUCCCCUUCGGGGGACAAAGUGACAGGUGGUGCAUGGUUGUCGUCAGCUCGUGUCGUGAGAUGUUGGGUUAAGUCCCGCAACGAGCGCAACCCUUAAGCUUAGUUGCCAUCAUUAAGUUGGGCACUCUAAGUUGACUGCCGGUGACAAACCGGAGGAAGGUGGGGAUGACGUCAAAUCAUCAUGCCCCUUAUGAUUUGGGCUACACACGUGCUACAAUGGACAAUACAAAGGGCAGCGAAACCGCGAGGUCAAGCAAAUCCCAUAAAGUUGUUCUCAGUUCGGAUUGUAGUCUGCAACUCGACUACAUGAAGCUGGAAUCGCUAGUAAUCGUAGAUCAGCAUGCUACGGUGAAUACGUUCCCGGGUCUUGUACACACCGCCCGUCACACCACGAGAGUUUGUAACACCCGAAGCCGGUGGAGUAACCUUUUAGGAGCUAGCCGUCGAAGGUGGGACAAAUGAUUGGGGUGAAGUCGUAACAAGGUAGCCGUAUCGGAAGGUGCGGCUGGAUCACCUCCUUUCU
RNAcentral lists this ribosomal RNA (1554 nucleotides) under Staphylococcus aureus. RNAcentral describes it as "16S ribosomal RNA". It matches the Rfam family "Bacterial small subunit ribosomal RNA". Lineage: Bacteria; Bacillati; Bacillota; Bacilli; Caryophanales; Staphylococcaceae. The record is from RNAcentral.